AGUGCGCUCCAGCCCUUGUCACAGCAGCAAUGGCCAAGCACUGAUCCAGCUUGCCGGCUCAGCACUCCGCAGCAAGAGACCGAAGUCACUCUUGACAGCCCCCAUGAGCUCAGCAAGCACACAGAAGCAGAACAGAGGGAAACCGGCCAGCUUCCUGCCAAGGUGCUGAGUGGACAGACAGGCUGCUGAAGACAGAAGUGGAGGGAGAAAAUUGGUGACCUUGACGGUAAAGAGCAUUGGUGCCCUGGGGACCCAUCACAACCACCAAGGUCGAUGAGCAGACAUAGCUGGUGCUGCUUCCUGAAGGGUAAUCACGUUGAUGACAGUGCAGUCCCUGAGCUGUGAUUUGGUCUGGGAAUAGAAUUAUUAGGAAACCCAGCUUGGCUGUCACAGAUGCUCUGUUUGGGGUUUUCCCUUGAAGUAAACAGAAAGAGUCCCAGUGGAAGCAACGACUCAGCAGGAACUACGGCAGCUGGCCUCCCCACUGGCCACUCUGCUGUCCUCAAUGGUCACCCUCUCAAAGGCUCAAUUAAUAAACAUUUCCCAGUAUAGGCUGGGAAAUUGGCUACUGUUGAUGCAGUGGAUGAAAAUGACAGAGACGGCACCGGAACAGAGGAGCCCAACAGAGCCAGCUCAAAUCCUGGCCACGCCUCCUACCACUGUGACUCCGGACAGGGUUACUUCCCUUCUGCAACCCAGCAUCAUCUAAGACAUGGCCGUCAUCACAGAGAUAUUACGAUCAGCAGGGAAGCAAGUGGAACACAAAUUAAAGAGUCUUCUUCCUCCCUAUCCACGACCCAAAGAGAAUUUUAUACACGUUUAGAAAGAAGGAAGAGUAAUUGAGAUGAAGUGUGCCAAGCACUCGGCACGUGGCAAAUGCAGGAGACUGUUGCUGUUAUCAUUGUUAUUAUUCAACGCCACCACAGCCACCACAGCCACCACCGCUGCUGCCACCACUACAGAGUCAUGCUAAUCAGUGUGAAUCAUGUUUAUCACUGUCGCCACCACCACCACCAUAGCCGUGUUCACCAGUGCUUAGUAUGUUUAUCCCCAUCGGCACCACCACCACGAUUACCUUCUCCAUCACCUUUGCCAUUAUCACCACCACCGUCAGCAUCGCUCACUGUCAGCACCAGCACUACGCCCACUCUCUCCAUCAUUAUCCCCAUGGCCAUCAUCAGCACCUUCAUUAAGUGAGCCCUUUGGAACUCUAAAGGUCACACCGGUAUGCUCUAUUCUCACCUGCUGUGUAGCCGUAAGCUGGGCCGAAGUGUCCAUUUGAGCUCAACAUUGGAGACCCAAGUAAUGAUGAACACAUGUGGUGGCAUGUCACUCAACCUGGUGUGCUGGCUGUCCCUAGACUAGAGGACCCAGGGACCUCCUGGACCCCACGGAGUUCCAAACCUAUAAAUGACACAUGUAAAAUCACACAGGACCAGAAAGUGGGCCCAGCAGGCAGAGGGUAAUUUGAGUAUUUGAAGGCUCCAGGGGAACCAAUCUAGAGCUUGCUAUGCUCUGCUGGGCUGACGACUAUGAACUGUGAACCAUGCUCUGGAAAAGGACACAGGGCAUGCAUCUGGGAGAGGCGGGUUUGAAUCCCCCAUCCUCCAGGCAUUCACUGAUGGCCCUUGGGGACUCUGAGGCCAGGUUUGUACCUAAUGUAGCAGUCCUGUCAGAGGAAUGUUCCCUUAAGGGACCAACAAAAGAGCUGUGGACAGGGUUAAAUGACAUCAGAAGGCGGUGGUGGAAACCUGCCUUGGUGUUCUAGAAAUGAGAGCCACUCCAUCCCAACAGUCAAAUAUCAAAGGGUAGGAAUCACUUCUGAGACCCCUGUGGGGUCAGAGCCCACAACAGGAGGGGCAUCGCUACUACCCAUGGAAUACUUAGUCAGUGUGUGGGUUGAUGACAGUGAAUCUGGGAGCUGAUGGCUGACUGAGUUGGCGAAAGGCUUUCCAUACAAACAUGAGGACCUGAGUUUGUAUGUGAGUACACUGUCACUGUCUUCAGACACACCAGAAGAAGGCAUCAGAUCCCAUUACAGAUGGUUGUGAACCACCAUGUGGUUGCUGGGAUUUGAACUCUGGAAGAGCAGUCAAUGCUCUUAACCACUGAGCCAUCUCUCCAGCCCCUGAGGACCUGAGUUUGAAUCCCCAUAACCCAUGUUUAAAAAAAAAAAAAACAAAGGUACAGCAUUAUGAACCCAUAACCCAAACUCUGGCAGGAGGGAGACAAGUGGGUCCCUGGGCUCACUGGUUAACCCGUGUAGACACACUCCAGAUUCAGUAAGAGACACUGUCUAAAGGUGACGUGAUUGAAGAAGACACCCAAUGCCACCUUCUGGCUCCAAACAUACAUGCACAUAUACACACAUAGAUAAACACAUGAGGCAGGUCACAUCUGUCAAAUGUCUGUUUCAUGUUUCUGGGCCCACAUCUGACUUUUGAUGACUUUUCCCCUUCUUCAAUCUGGGCACAUCUGCCACUGAACAGAGUAAAAGUGACAUAAAGUAACUUCAGAUUUUAGUUCAUAAAAGUAAUGCACCUUCCAGAGGAACCAACAUGCUGGAAGGAAGGCCCAGCAGCCGCACAGAG
Rattus norvegicus (Norway rat) is the source of this 2591-nucleotide long non-coding RNA. RefSeq lists it as uncharacterized. Lineage: Eukaryota; Metazoa; Chordata; Mammalia; Rodentia; Muridae. The record is from RefSeq and is a predicted model, not a curated record.